Long non-coding RNA from Perognathus longimembris pacificus (Pacific pocket mouse), 133 nucleotides. RefSeq lists it as uncharacterized. The record is from RefSeq and is a predicted model, not a curated record. NCBI's taxonomy places the organism in Eukaryota, Metazoa, Chordata, Mammalia, Rodentia, Heteromyidae. The transcript has 3 exons.
GGGGGAGACCAGGGAGUGUGAACAGCCCCCUGGGGUGAACCUGCUGGGUUUCUCGCAAUCCGAUGCUGGAAGUUUUGAUUCAUAUUUUCCUGUGCUUCUUUUUUUUUUCUAGUCCUGGGCUUGAACUCUGGCC